Non-coding RNA from Pelobates cultripes (western spadefoot toad), 398 nucleotides. The record is from the annotation of a GenBank genome assembly. Lineage: Eukaryota; Metazoa; Chordata; Amphibia; Anura; Pelobatidae.
UGGAUUUCUACCAGCGUCUCUGCUCGAGGACCACCAAUUCUAUACUGUGAUUCUUGACUGCUUGUGUACAAACUCUGUCUUGUUCUAAGGAUUGCAUCUUAAUACCUUGAUGGGAUCUUCUAGUAAUAACCCGGACUUGGUUAAAAGACUGUCUUCUAUCUAUUCCCUGGACAUUGUAAAGGAUUACCUGUUACUAGAGAUUUAUUUAAGAACGUUCCUCCUCUUCUUCUCAGACUUGAUUUGUUGGUUACUGGAACUGGAUCUGGCUAACUGGAUUUUAAUUCUCCUCGCUUUCUGGAUUCUUAUCAACAUUGUAACUCCUGUAGCAAUGGAUUAGUUACUGGCUGCUGCUAUAAUUUUAUAUCUCCUGUGAACAUCAUCAAUAUACCAACAUUUUG